GAUCAUGGCUCAGGAUGAACGCUAGCGACAGGCUUAACACAUGCAAGUCGAGGGGCAGCAUAAAAGUAGCAAUACUUGGGUGGCCGGCCGGCGCACGGGUGUGUAACGCGUAUGCAACCUACCUAUCAGAGGGGAAUAACCCGGCGAAAGUCGGACUAAUACCGCAUAAAACAGGGGCACCGCAUGGUGAUAUUUGUUAAAGAAAUUCGCUGAUAGAUGGGCAUGCGUUCCAUUAGGUAGUUGGUGAGGUAACGGCUCACCAAGCCGACGAUGGAUAGGGGAACUGAGAGGUUGGUCCCCCACACUGGUACUGAGACACGGACCAGACUCCUACGGGAGGCAGCAGUGAGGAAUAUUGGUCAAUGGGCGGGAGCCUGAACCAGCCAAGUCGCGUGAAGGAAAGAAGGAUCUAUGGUUCGUAAACUUCUUUUGCAGGGGAAUAAAGUGCAGGACGUGUCCUGUUUUGUAUGUACCCUGAGAAUAAGGAUCGGCUAACUCCGUGCCAGCAGCAGC
RNAcentral lists this ribosomal RNA (513 nucleotides) under uncultured bacterium. RNAcentral describes it as "bacterial SSU rRNA". It matches the Rfam family "Bacterial small subunit ribosomal RNA", at positions 15 to 518 of the family's 1533-position model. The record is from RNAcentral.